This 1076-nucleotide long non-coding RNA is filed under the name Monodelphis domestica (gray short-tailed opossum). RNAcentral's name for it is "lncRNA (ENSMODG00000047458.1)". Lineage: Eukaryota; Metazoa; Chordata; Mammalia; Didelphimorphia; Didelphidae. The record is from RNAcentral.
CCCGGUUGCGCCCCCCCCCCCCCCGCAGGGCUUCUCCCUCUUUGGUUGGAACUCCCAGCACUUAGCUCUCUCGCUGCUCCCUCCCCUCCCAGCACAGCGUGCCCAGUUCUCCAGCCUCUCUAGGUUGAGCCUCCCAGCAGGUCUCUCCUCACUGCGGUCCACCUUCUCCUGCCACAGUCAUCCCCAAGAUCUGACAGAGAUCUGACUAUCACUCCUGGUCGUCAGGGGCUCCUCGUGGCUUCCAGAAUCCCCAGCCUGGCCUCUUCAGCCUCCACCCGCCUCCCCAGGCUCACUCCAGUCAGGACACUUUGGUUAAAGCCCUGCUGUGUGCCCGUCACUGCCCCAAGGGCUGGAAGGGGAAAGGCUGCCUCUGCUAGGGAGGCUAACUCAGCAGUGGGCAGCCCUGGUGCCCGCGAGAAAUGCCGGCUGGCUUGGGGGAUUCAGGGAGGGAGGGAGGGAGGGAGAGAGAGAGAGAGAGAGAGACAGAGAGAGGGGGAGAGAGAGAGGGAGGGAAGGAAGGAAGGAAGGAGGGAGGGAGGGAGAGAGAGGGAGGGAGGGAGAGAGACAGAGAGAGGGAGGGAGGGAGAAAGAAAGAGAAAGAAAGAAGAAAGCUUCUAUUCUACCCACCAGGAUUCUCCCAACAGCAGGGGUAGUAUGAAGGGCUGGAGUUCCAGCAGAAGGACCAGAGUUCCAAUCCUACCUCUGCUACUUUGUGAUUUGGGGCAAGUUUACCAUCCCUUCCCAGCACAAAGGGGUCGGGCCAGAUGGCCCCCAUCUAUGGUUCUAUAUCUGGGGAAGGGCACGACUCAGCGCAGCUCAUGGAACUGCCAAAACAAUGCAGGUGCCGAGUCCAGAGAAGUCUGGGAAGACUCGGCCCGAGGUGGGGACUCUGGAACACAGCAUAUAAUGGCAGACGUGUGCUGUCUCUUUCCUCCCACCCCCUUCUCCCCCCACUCAUCUCCUCCUUGCCUCCUCCCUCUUUCUUUCCAUCCCUCUCCUCUCUCCCUUCCCCCUCCCUCUCCUCUCCUUCCUCUCCCCCCCCUUUUUCUCUUCUCUUAGCCCCCCCCCCACCUCUU